RNAcentral lists this ribosomal RNA (497 nucleotides) under uncultured bacterium. Its description in RNAcentral is "partial 16S ribosomal RNA". It matches the Rfam family "Bacterial small subunit ribosomal RNA", at positions 28 to 507 of the family's 1533-position model. The record is from RNAcentral.
GAUGAACGCUGGCGGCGUGCCUAAUACAUGCAAGUCGAGCGAACAGACGAGGAGCUUGCUCCUCUGACGUUAGCGGCGGACGGGUGAGUAACACGUGGAUAACCUACCUAUAGGACUGGGAUAACUUCGGGAAACCGGCGCUAAUACCGGAUAAUAUAUUGAACCGCAUGGUUCAAUAGUGAAAGACGGUUUUGCUGUCACUUAUAGAUGGAUCCGCGCCGCAUUAGCUAGUUGGUAAGGUAACGGCUUACCAAGGCAACGAUGCGUAGCCGACCUGAGAGGGGGAUAGGCCACACGGGAACUGGGACACGGUCAAGACUCCUAAGGGAGGCAGCAGUAGGGAAUCUUCCGCAAAGGGCGAAAGCAUGACGGAGCAACGCCGCGUGAGUGAUGAAGGUCUUCGGAGCGUAAAACUCUGUUAUUAGGGAAGAACAAAUGUGUAAGUAACUAUGCACGGCUUGACGGUACCUAAUCAGAAAGCCACGGCUAACUACGUG